CCAGUCGCUGCCUGUCCUCGCGGAUGGCAAUGGCAAUCAUGAAAGUGAGAUGAGAUGAUACCGGAGGAUAUACUACUGCUGGCGCCAUGAGGCUCACGGUCACGGGCAUGGGAACCACGGUAGUGUCGUGGUCCUUUUACUUGCUCUCGUCCACUCCACUUUUGCGCGCUUUGAGGCAGGGAAAGGCACGUCAUGUGCGUGCAGGAAAGGGAGCUCAGGAAAUCAGGAUCCGAUGAAGGUGGUGGAACUGGGAGAUGAACAAAGGGGAGGCAUUCGCGCUGAGCCCAGCUCACCUGCUCUAGAGUUGAUCAAUUCCAAACAGCAUGAGCUAGAGAGGGUUAAAACUCUUCUUUCGAAGAAAUAAGUGUCAUUAGAUACAUUUCAUAGUACAAUGAUUUAGUAUCACAAAUAUUAAUAUUUUAAUUUAUGUAUAUUUAUUUGAUCAAACUUUAGACACGUUAAUAAAAAAAGGCAAAAGCUA
RNAcentral lists this long non-coding RNA (481 nucleotides) under Sorghum bicolor (sorghum). RNAcentral describes it as "long non-coding RNA (SBIC_LNC001615)". The record is from RNAcentral. Lineage: Eukaryota; Viridiplantae; Streptophyta; Magnoliopsida; Poales; Poaceae.